GCAAGUCGAGGGGCAGCAUAAUGGAUAGCAAUAUCUAUGGUGGCGACCGGCGCACGGGUGCGUAACGCGUAUGCAACCUACCUUUAACAGGGGGAUAACACUGAGAAAUUGGUACUAAUACCCCAUAAUAUCAUAGAAGGCAUCUUUUAUGGUUGAAAAUUCCGAUGGUUAGAGAUGGGCAUGCGUUGUAUUAGCUAGUUGGUGGGGUAACGGCUCACCAAGGCGACGAUACAUAGGGGGACUGAGAGGUUAACCCCCCACACUGGUACUGAGACACGGACCAGACUCCUACGGGAGGCAGCAGUGAGGAAUAUUGGUCAAUGGACGCAAGUCUGAACCAGCCAUGCCGCGUGCAGGAUGACGGCUCUAUGAGUUGUAAACUGCUUUUGUACGAGGGUAAACGCAGAUACGUGUAUCUGUCUGAAAGUAUCGUACGAAUAAGGAUCGGCUAACUCCGUGCCAGCAGCCGCGGUAAUACGGAGGAUUCAAGCGUUAUCCGGAUUUAUUGGGUUUAAAGGGUGCGUAGGCGGUUUGAUAAGUUAGAGGUGAAAUUUCGGGGCUCAACCCUGAACGUGCCUCUAAUACUGUUGAGCUAGAGAGUAGUUGCGGUAGGCGGAAUGUAUGGUGUAGCGGUGAAAUGCUUAGAGAUCAUACAGAACACCGAUUGCGAAGGCAGCUUACCAAACUAUAUCUGACGUUGAGGCACGAAA
RNAcentral lists this ribosomal RNA (710 nucleotides) under uncultured bacterium. RNAcentral describes it as "bacterial SSU rRNA". It matches the Rfam family "Bacterial small subunit ribosomal RNA", at positions 57 to 758 of the family's 1533-position model. The record is from RNAcentral.